AUUGAACGCUGGCGGCAUGCCUAACACAUGCAAGUCGAGCGGAGCGGUGAACGGGUGAGUAUUGCCUAGGGAUCUGCAUGGGCGUGGGGGAUAACGUCGGGAAACGGACGCUAAUACCGCACACUCUGUCAUAGACCUAGGUCGGAUUAGGUAGGUGGUGGGUGAACGGCCAACCAAGGCGGUGACCCGUAACUGGUCUGGGAGGAUGAUCAGUCACACUGGAACUGAGACACGGUCCAGACUCCUACGGGUGGCAGACGUGGGGAAUAUUGGACAAUGGGCGAAAGCCGGAUCCAGCCAUGCCGCGUGUGUGAAGAAGGUCUUCGGAUUGUAAAGCACUUUAAGUUGGGAGGCGAUACCAACAGAAUAAGCACCGGCUAACUUCGUGCCAGCAGCCGCGGUAAUAC
Molecule: ribosomal RNA, 407 nt
Filed under: uncultured bacterium
Lineage: Bacteria
Description: partial 16S ribosomal RNA
Rfam family: Bacterial small subunit ribosomal RNA
Source: RNAcentral